AAACGAUGCCAACCAGCGAUCCGCCUGAGUUCCUUAAAUGACUCGGCGGGCAGCUUCCGGGAAACCAAAGUUUUUCGGUUCCGGGGGAAGUAUGGUUGCAAAGCUGAAACUUAAAGGAAUUGACGGAAGGGCACCACCAGGAGUGGAGCCUGCGGCUUAAUUUGACUCAACACGGGAAAACUUACCCGGCCCGGACACUGGCAGGAUUGACAGAUUGAGAGCUCUUUCUUGAUUCAGUGGGUGGUGGUGCAUGGCCGUUCUUAGUUGGUGGAGCGAUUUGUCUGGUUAAUUCCGAUAACGAACGAGACUCUAGCCUACUAAAUAGGCCACCGGCUUACUGACGUCGGUGGGACUUCUUAGAGGGACAGGCGGCGAUUCAGCCGCACGAAACAGAGCAAUAACAGGUCUGUGAUGCCCUUAGAUGUCCGGGGCCGCACGCGCACUACACUGAAGUGAUCGGCGUGCAUUACAAACCUGCUCCGUCAGGAGUGGGGAACCCAAUGAACCUUCUUCGUGAUUGGGAUAGGGGAUUGUAAUUAUUCCCCUUGAACGAGGAAUUCCCAGUAAGCGCGAGUCAUAAGCUCGCGUUGAUUACGUCCCUGCCCUUUGUACACACCGCCCGUCGCUACUACCGAUUGAAUGAUUUAGUGAGGUCUUCGGACUGGCCGGCGCAGCUGUCUUCGGGCGGCCGCGCUGUGUUUGGAAAGAUGCCCAAACUUGAUCAUUUAGAGGAAGUAAAAGUCGUAACAAGGUUUUCGUAGGUGAACCUGCGGAAGGA
RNAcentral lists this ribosomal RNA (778 nucleotides) under uncultured eukaryote. RNAcentral describes it as "SSU rRNA". It matches the Rfam family "Eukaryotic small subunit ribosomal RNA", at positions 1034 to 1825 of the family's 1831-position model. The record is from RNAcentral.